RNAcentral lists this transfer RNA (70 nucleotides) under Aquiflexum balticum DSM 16537. It matches the Rfam family "tRNA". Rfam says of the family: Transfer RNA (tRNA) molecules are approximately 80 nucleotides in length. Their secondary structure includes four short double-helical elements and three loops (D, anti-codon, and T loops). Further hydrogen bonds mediate the characteristic L-shaped molecular structure. tRNAs have two regions of fundamental functional importance: the anti-codon, which is responsible for specific mRNA codon recognition, and the 3' end, to which the tRNAs corresponding amino acid is attached (by aminoacyl-tRNA synthetases). tRNAs cope with the degeneracy of the genetic code in two manners: having more than one tRNA (with a specific anti-codon) for a particular amino acid; and 'wobble' base-pairing, i.e. permitting non-standard base-pairing at the 3rd anti-codon position. Lineage: Bacteria; Pseudomonadati; Bacteroidota; Cytophagia; Cytophagales; Cyclobacteriaceae. The record is from Rfam by way of RNAcentral.
GGUCGAGUAGCCGAGUGUUAGGCAGAAGUUCGCAAGACUUCAUACGGUGGUUCGAUUCCACCCUCGACCU